Molecule: ribosomal RNA, 468 nt
Filed under: uncultured bacterium
Lineage: Bacteria
Description: partial 16S ribosomal RNA
Rfam family: Bacterial small subunit ribosomal RNA
Source: RNAcentral
GACGAACGCUGGCGGCGUGCUUAACACAUGCAAGUCGAACGGAAAGGCCCUGCUUUUGUGGGGUGCUCGAGUGGCGAACGGGUGAGUAACACGUGAGUAACCUGCCCUUGACUUUGGGAUAACUUCAGGAAACUGGGGCUAAUACCGGAUAGGAGCUCCUGCUGCAUGGUGGGGGUUGGAAAGUUUCGGCGGUUGGGGAUGGACUCGCGGCUUAUCAGCUUGUUGGUGUGGUAGUGGCUUACUAAGGCGUUGACGGGUAGCCGGCCUGAGAGGGUGACCGGCCACAUUGGGCCUGAGAUACGACCCAGACUCCUACGGGAGGCAGCGGUGGGAAACAUUGCACAAUGGGCGGAAGCCUGAUGCAGCAACGCCGCGUGCGGGAUGACGGCUUUCGGGUCGUAAACCGCUUUCGCCUGUGACGAAGCGUGAGUGACGGUAAUGGGUAAAGAAGCACCGGCUAACUACGUG